GCCUGAACCGUCACGGGGGAAGCGGAUUGCGUUGGAUUGGUGGGCGCUUGUGUGUUCAGCCUUCGGGUGCAUUGGCACAAGUGCUUAUCCGCUGUGAGUUCUCGGGGGCCGAUUUUGGGCCGCUGGGGACUGAGGGCUCCCUUUUGGUGAGGACAGCGGAGUGACGACGCGAUACGACCCGUCUUGAAACACGGACCAAGGAGUCUAGCGCGGGUGCGAGUCGGAGGGUGCAAGCCCGUGGGCGAAGUGAAAGCGAGUGUAAAAACGAGCAGUUUGGGGCGGCAUAAGAUCGUUGAUCUUAAGACCGACCCAGAGCAGUUGCGCUGGGACCCGAAAGAUGGUGAACUAUGCCGGAGUAGGGCAAAGCCAGAGGAAACUCUGGUGGAGGCUCGUAGCGGUGCUGACGUGCAAAUCGCUCGUCGAACUUGGGUAUAGGGGCGAAAGACUAAUCGAACCAUCUAGUAGCUGGUUCCCUCCGAAGUUUCUCUCAGGAUAGCGGGCCGACAAGUUGUUUUGUGCGGUAAAGCGAAUGAUUAGCGCAUUCGGGGGCGUUUAGCCUUCGGGCGAUUCUCAAACUUUCAAUGCGCAAGGGUGCCGCUGCUUAAUUGAGCGGUACCGGUAAAAACGUCGGCCCUGUGGGCCACUUUUGGUAAGCAGAACUGGCGAUACGGGAUGAACCGUAAGCAAGGUUAAGGCGCCAAACUGCCCGCUUAUAGACCCCACAAAA
RNAcentral lists this ribosomal RNA (727 nucleotides) under Schottera nicaeensis. RNAcentral describes it as "eukaryotic LSU rRNA". It matches the Rfam family "Eukaryotic large subunit ribosomal RNA", at positions 397 to 1219 of the family's 3401-position model. The record is from RNAcentral. Lineage: Eukaryota; Rhodophyta; Florideophyceae; Gigartinales; Phyllophoraceae.